GCCGGCAUAGCUCAACGUCAGAGCGUCGUCUCGGUAUGGCGAAGGAUGUGGGUUGAAACCCCGCUGCCGGCUCCA
RNAcentral lists this transfer RNA (75 nucleotides) under Occallatibacter sp. RNAcentral's name for it is "tRNA-Thr". It matches the Rfam family "tRNA". From Rfam's summary of the family: Transfer RNA (tRNA) molecules are approximately 80 nucleotides in length. Their secondary structure includes four short double-helical elements and three loops (D, anti-codon, and T loops). Further hydrogen bonds mediate the characteristic L-shaped molecular structure. tRNAs have two regions of fundamental functional importance: the anti-codon, which is responsible for specific mRNA codon recognition, and the 3' end, to which the tRNAs corresponding amino acid is attached (by aminoacyl-tRNA synthetases). tRNAs cope with the degeneracy of the genetic code in two manners: having more than one tRNA (with a specific anti-codon) for a particular amino acid; and 'wobble' base-pairing, i.e. permitting non-standard base-pairing at the 3rd anti-codon position. Lineage: Bacteria; Pseudomonadati; Acidobacteriota; Terriglobia; Terriglobales; Acidobacteriaceae. The record is from RNAcentral.